AGCAGUAGCCGCGGUAACACGGAGGGUGCAAGCGUUACUCGGAAUCACUGGGCGUAAAGGACGCGUAGGCGGAUUAUCAAGUCUCUUGUGAAAUCUAACGGCUUAACCGUUAAACUGCUUAGGAAACUGAUAAUCUAGAGUAAGGGAGAGGCAGAUGGAAUUCUUGGUGUAGGGGUAAAAUCCGUAGAUAUCAAGAAGAAUACCUAUUGCGAAGGCGAUCUGCUGGAACUUAACUGACGCUAAUGCGUGAAAGCGUGGGGAGCAAACAGGAUUAGAUACCCCCGUAGUCCCUGUCUCUUAUAC
This 303-nucleotide ribosomal RNA is filed under the name uncultured bacterium. RNAcentral's name for it is "partial 16S ribosomal RNA". It matches the Rfam family "Bacterial small subunit ribosomal RNA", at positions 507 to 807 of the family's 1533-position model. The record is from RNAcentral.